Glycine soja is the source of this 5163-nucleotide long non-coding RNA. RefSeq lists it as uncharacterized. The record is from RefSeq and is a predicted model, not a curated record. NCBI's taxonomy places the organism in Eukaryota, Viridiplantae, Streptophyta, Magnoliopsida, Fabales, Fabaceae. The transcript has 3 exons.
CUUUGUAUUGGAUAAAUUGGAAUAGUAUUACUCAACCUAGGAAAGGGGGAACCCAAGAAGACUGGGAAUUGGUGGGAUCAUUAGAGACUGUAAUGGUAAUUGGUGCUUAGGAUUCUCGGGUUUGUGUGGAGUCAAGGAUCUUGAAUUCCAACAAGUUAGUUUUCUCUAGAAUGGUAGAAUAGAAUUCCUAACAAUAUAACAAGAGAUUUUUAAGUUGAGACAGUGAGAGAGGCACCAUUGUGUGCCGGGGUGAGAUUGAGAAUCAUGGUUGCGGCCUUGAGAGCCCACGCCUGAGGCGGCUGAUAGAGGGAAGCAGACGCGCCGAAGCAGGAGGCGAGCAUGUCGGCGUUGAUCACGCCCGGAUUGAGUGCGAUCACUGCAGUGAUUAGGGUUAGGGUUAGGGUUAGGGUUACCUAUGAUAUCAGGAACGGGAGCAGCCAAUUAUUGUAUGACCUCGAUUGGCGAGUUCGAGAGCCAGGGCUCUUCCCAGCCAUUUCCGACUCCAGUUAUCAGCACGUUAUCGAUGCAUGUAUGUUUCUCAGAAAAUUUAUUUGUAAUGCGCUGAAGUGACUGUUGGAUUUGGGGUUAGACCAUCAUUUCGAAUUCCCUUCCGUGAGAGUAUCCCAUUUCCAUUUUCCUCCUGUGACGACUCACUUUAAGUGUACUUCCGUUUUCAUGUUGGUCGUGAACGAGAAACAAGAAAGAAGCCGAGCACUACAUAUCCCUUGCCCCUAAUUACAAUAGUGGAUCAAGUAUCCCCUCCAAUAUUGUCACUGUUCUGUUGUGGUGGAUGUUAGUGGGGAUGAAGACCAUCAUCGCAUCACUGAAAUCAAAGCAAAACUUUCAACACCGCAGAAUGUAUGUAUUGUUCUAACUAACAGCAAAUACUCCCCUAUUGUUUUUCUUUUUAAUGUUAUUUUGCAAGGGAAGAGAAGUCAUGCUUAUCCACUCCAUCAGGUUAUUUUUUUUUUCUUUUUUUCUUUUUAUUGAAUCCCCUCCACCAUGUUAGUCUUCAAAUACGAUACAUAAUACAUCUUCUCACAUCUUCUCAGUAAUCCCACAUUUAGUUUGUAUUAAUUUAUACAUCAAUUUGUAAGCAACUCAACUUGAUAUCUAUUUGAAAUAUUCACAUAUUACAAAAUUUUCCUGAUUCUAAUAAUAAAAGCCCUGCAUACAAUUUAAGACAAUUAAAAAAUUAUCAAAAUUGAAUAUCAAAAAUAAAAAACAAUGAUCAAAACUACUCUUUUAUUUUUAUAUUUUUAUUAGUAAUUGUAAUCAUAAUAAUUUAUAUUGUCACAGCUGGCAUGAACCAUUGCAGCAAUAAUUUCAUCACUAAAUCACAAUGUUUGUAUGCAAAUAAGUAUAAUAUUAAAGUUAAAAAGCAUCUCUUCAUUUGUACAAAUUAUAGUAUGAGGUGUAGUGACAUUCAAAGUUUUCAAAUGAAUACCUUGAUCACAUUAAAUAAUUAAAUAUUUUUUAAAAAAUAACUAAUAAUAUCAUAGUCACCUAUGAAGUAUAAAUACCCACUAUUUUUUUAUCAACAAUGUUAAAAUACAUAUGAAAUGGAUAAAACUAUAAGGAUUUUAUCAGUAGCACUAUAACUUGCUUGUUUAUACCAUGUUUGUAUCACAUUUUCUACUUUCCAUGGUUUUCCCUCAUAGACAAAAUAUAUAUAGAAGUAGUUAACAAAAAACAUGUCAUAUCACAUACAACUUGUCUUGGUCCAGAUGGAGCAUACACAACAUUUUACUCUCUGUUACUUGGUAUGAAUCAUAGUCACUCAAUAAAUAAGUUGCCUAAUACAAAAGGGAAAACAUUUGUCUGCAUGAUAAUCACUAAAUAUCACAAAACCACAAAAUAACAUUAAAAAGAAAACCUUAGAUGUUAGUUAGAACAAUACAUACAUUCUACGGUGGUGAAAAGCAGUGAUAAUGGUCUUAUCCCCACUAACAUCCACAUCCACCAACAGUGACAAUAUUGGAAGGGAUACUCAAGCCACUGCUACGACACAAAGGCCUAAGGCAGAACACUUUGCAAACAACAUACAACAUGUCAAAUAAAGAGGGUCAUUACUGCGAAACAAACAUCUAAGCAUAAACCUAUGUAGCCAAACAUGUCCCAUUUCAUGUGAGGGAAUGAGCACAAAAACAAAAUCAAAAUCAAAAUAAACAAACUAAGCCACCACAACAAAAAGAUAUAAGCAUAAACGUUUGGGAAAGACAUAAAAUAAACAAUGUAACCAAUGAUGCACAUCAGAGCUGAAGAUGGCAGCAAAACAAAAAUAUUGCACCAUAAAAGAUAACAAAUUACUAAAUCCCGAACUUUGGUACAGAAAACGUUAGGGUUUACUUAUUUCACCUUUUUUAUUUUCCUACAAAGAAAACCAAGCUUUACUGGUAACAAAUAACGAAAUCACAUUUUCUACUUUCCAUGAUUUUUGUGUGAUUUGUAAUCAUAAUCCUUCACUGACAAACUAUAAAAGUAGUUAACAAAAGACAUGUCAUAUCACAUACAACUUGUCUUGGUCCAUCUGGAGUAACAUGUUGAUUGACAUAUUCAUCAUUCAUAUUCUCUAGUGGUCAUUUGUUUUGCAGGGUCAUUAAAAUAGAAUAGUAGAUUGAGAUAAGGAAGGCUAAAAAAUAUCAUACACAGUGCAUUAUUAUUACUCUUUUUUUUGGAAGGCAUAAAAUAUAAUAUAUUAUUGAGAUAAUCAAAACAGUACAAGUGGUACUGAAUGAAAAGGAAAUACAAAGCACCACUGGUGCUGCCUCCCAAAAUAAAACCCAAACUAACCCAUCAAUAAAGACAUCUCCACAUAGGUUAACCAAAGGACUCCUUUAUAUUAGAGGACCAAUGGUUGAAGCUAGUGUUGAAGCCUUUCUCUCUAGCUUUUAGCCAAGACCAAGCUAAAAACAUAGCCUCUUCCAUGACUUUAGAGGAAUCAAAUUGAUUGACAUAUUCAUCAUUCAUAUUCUCUAGUGGUCAUUUGUUUUGCAGGGUCAUUAAAAUAGAAUAGUAGAUUGAGAUAAGGAAGGCUAAAAAAUAUCAUACACAGUGCAUUAUUAUUACUCUUUGUUUUUUUUUUUUCGGAAGGCAUAAAAUAUAAUAUAUUAUUGAGAUAAUCAAAACAGUACAAGUGGUACUGAAUGAAAAGGAAAUACAAAGCACCACUGGUGCUGCCUCCCAAAAUAAAACCCAAACUAACCCAUCAAUAAAGACAUCUCCACAUAGGUUAACCAAAGGACUCCUUUAUAUUAGAGGACCAAUGGUUGAAGCUAGUGUUGAAGCCUUUCUCUCUAGCUUUUAGCCAAGACCAAGCUAAAAACAUAGCCUCUUCCAUGACUUUAGAGGAAUCAAAUUGAUUGACAUAUUCAUCAUUCAUAUUCUCUAGUGGUCAUUUGUUUUGCAGGGUCAUUAAAAUAGAAUAGUAGAUUGAGAUAAGGAAGGCUAAAAAAUAUCAUACACAGUGCAUUAUUAUUACUCUUUGUUUUUUUUUUUUCGGAAGGCAUAAAAUAUAAUAUAUUAUUGAGAUAAUCAAAACAGUACAAGUGGUACUGAAUGAAAAGGAAAUACAAAGCACCACUGGUGCUGCCUCCCAAAAUAAAACCCAAACUAACCCAUCAAUAAAGACAUCUCCACAUAGGUUAACCAAAGGACUCCUUUAUAUUAGAGGACCAAUGGUUGAAGCUAGUGUUGAAGCCUUUCUCUCUAGCUUUUAGCCAAGACCAAGCUAAAAACAUAGCCUCUUCCAUGACUUUAGAGGAAUCAAAUUGUUUUCCUUGAAAGAUGAGGGUAUUCCUAUGUUACCAUAUAGUACUAGUUAGAGCCACCCACCACCCACACCAUCUGCUAUGGUUUAUAUUAGCUCCAAAUCCUUCACAAAAUUGUGCUAAAUGACUUGCUGGGGAAACUGGAAGAGGUCCUACAGCCUGGAUCCAUGUCAUGGAUUCCCACCACAGGGGCAUUGUCCUUUUGCAAUUAAAAAAUAGGUGACCCACUUCCUCUUGCACUUGACCACAGAGAGGGCAGCCAUCAUCUUGGAUAAUCACAUUUCUUCUUAAUAGAUUACCCUUAGUAGGUAAUCUGUCCUUGAGGAGCCUCCAAGUGAAGACUGCUGUCCUUGGGGGGAUUUUCAUCUUCCAUAUUAAUUUGAAAUUUCUGACAUCUGAGGCUGAGGCAUUGGUGUUUAGCAUUAUUCUAUAAUCUGACUUGGUGGAAUACACACCACUAGGUUCAGUUUUCCACAUCAUAUUGUCCUUCACAUAUCUCUGAAUAGAGAUAGAAGUAAUAUCCUCCAUAAAAUUCACUGUCAAAUCAUUUUCGUGGUCAAAUAAAUUCCUCCUCCAUUUGAAAUCCUAUUUUCAUCUAUCUUCAGAGAAGGUCCCCAUCUUUGUAAUGGUGUUGUGUUGUUGUCUACUGAUCAUAAAAAGUGAAUUAUACUUCUGUUGUAGAGUGCAGUCUUCCCCUAACCAUUUGUCUGUCCAGAAAUGAAUUCUAUCACCCCCACCAACCUUCCAAGCCAGGUUUUGUUGAAAGAUGUUUUGACCAGAGUGAUGAUAAAUCUUCCUCAAGUCCCUCCACCAGUGUGAGCAUCCCCUUUUAUCUCUGCCCGACUGAAACUCUUCCCAACCUCCAUAUUUGGAGUUAAUGAUUCUAGCCCAUAACUGUUGCUGGUCAGAAGCUAAGGCCCAUAUCCAUGAAUCAUAGUCACUCAAUGAAUCAUACUCUUUGUUAUUGGGUAUGAAUCAUAGUCACUCAAUGAAUAAGUUGUCUAAUACAAAAGGAAAAAAUAUUUGUCCGCAUAAUAAUCACUAAAUAUCACAAACUACAAAAUAACAUUAAAAAGAAAACCAACAUGGAAGUAUUUUGCUGUUAGUUAGAAUAAUACAUACAUUAUGCGGUGGUGAAAGUUUUGCUUUGAUUGCAGUGAUGAUGGGAUGAUGGUCUCCAUCCCCGUUAACAUCCACCACAACAGAACAAUGACAAUAUUUCAAGUUCACCCCUUACUGACCUCUCAUUUCGAUGUUCAGGGGCUGAAUAUUUGGCGUGCUGGGACUAUAAUCAACAUAUCCACAAUUUCGCAUAUAGCAAGCUUCAAUGAAAACCAUUCAUAUGUAGUUUCAAUAUAAUAAUAUGAGCGGGCAUAUUUUCUCGGUGAAAAAA